UACGAGGGGGGCGAGCGUUGUUCGGAAUUAUUGGGCGUAAAGGGUGCGUAGGCGGUUCCGCAAGUCCUGUGUGAAAUCUUCGGGCUCAACUCGAAGUCUGCACGGGAAACUGCGGGGCUUGAGUGUGGGAGAGGUGAGUGGAAUUCCUGGUGUAGCGGUGAAAUGCGCAGAUAUCAGGAGGAACACCGGUGGCGAAGGCGGGUCUCUGGGCCGAUACUGACGCUGAGGAGCGAAAGCGUGGGGAGCGAACAGG
RNAcentral lists this ribosomal RNA (253 nucleotides) under uncultured bacterium. RNAcentral's name for it is "partial 16S ribosomal RNA". It matches the Rfam family "Bacterial small subunit ribosomal RNA", at positions 524 to 776 of the family's 1533-position model. The record is from RNAcentral.